GAUGAACGCUAGCUACAGGCUUAACACAUGCAAGUCGAGGGGCAGCAGGGAUUUAGCUUGCUAAAUCCGCUGGCGACCGGCGCACGGGUGCGUAACGCGUAUCCAACUUUCCCGUUACUCAGGGAUAGCCUUCCGAAAGGGAGAUUAAUACCUGAUGGUGUUUGAAAUCCGCAUGUUCUUCAAACUAAAGAUUUAUCGGUAACGGAUAGGGAUGCGUGACAUUAGAUAGUAGGCGGGGUAACGGCCCACCUAGUCUACGAUGUCUAGGGGUUCUGAGAGGAAGGUCCCCCACACUGGAACUGAGACACGGUCCAGACUCCUACGGGAGGCAGCAGUGAGGAAUAUUGGUCAAUGGUCGGAAGACUGAACCAGCCAAGUAGCGUGAAGGAUGAAGGUUCUAUGGAUUGAAACUUCUUUUANAUAGGAAUAAAACCUCCCACGUGUGGGAGCUUGUAUGUACUAUAUGAAUAAGCAUCGGCUAACUCCGUG
RNAcentral lists this ribosomal RNA (489 nucleotides) under uncultured bacterium. RNAcentral describes it as "bacterial SSU rRNA". It matches the Rfam family "Bacterial small subunit ribosomal RNA", at positions 28 to 507 of the family's 1533-position model. The record is from RNAcentral.